This 2553-nucleotide long non-coding RNA is filed under the name Gallus gallus (chicken). Its description in RNAcentral is "lncRNA (ENSGALG00010007032.1)". The record is from RNAcentral. Lineage: Eukaryota; Metazoa; Chordata; Aves; Galliformes; Phasianidae.
CUGUCAUCUAAGUUUCUGCAAUAUGUUUCUGUCUCUCUGCUUGUUAUUUCCAUUAUUUCAGUUAUUUCCGUUAUUUUUGUUAUUUUCGUUAUUUCCGUUAUUUCCUUUAUUUUUCUUGGGUGUAAUCUAAAUUUCUGCAGUAUGUUUCUGUCUCUCUGGUGGUUAGUUCCGUUAGUUCCGUCACUUCCGUUGUUUAUUUCCAUUAGUUCCGUAAUUUAUUUUUGUUAGUUCCGUUAUUUAUUUCCGUUAGUUCCGUUAUUUAUUUCUGUCAGGUCCGUUAUUUAUUUCCGUUAGUUCAGUUACUUAGUACCCUUAUUUAGUUCGGUUAUUAAGUUCCGUUAUUUUGUUCCGUUAUUUAGUUCCGUUAUUUAGUUAUUUCCGUUUUUUCCAUUGUUCUUUCCUUGUCAUCUAAGUUUCUGAAGUAUGUUUCUGUCUGUCUGGAUGUUAUUUCCGUUAUUUCCGUUAUUUCUGCUAUUUCUGUUUUUUCCGUUGUUCUUCCUGGCCUGUCAUCUAAGUUUCAGAUGUAUGUUUCUGUCUCCCUGGACUUUGUUUCCGUUAUUAUUUCUGUUAUUUUGGUUAUUAAUUCAGUUAUUUCUGUAAUUAUUUUUGUUAUUUCCGUUGUUCUUCUUGGCCUCUCGUGUAAGUUCCAGAUGUAUGAUUCUUUCUCUCGGGAGUUUGUUUCCGUUAUUAUUUCCGUAAUUUCCAUUAUUAAUUUUGUUAUUUUUGUAAUUAUUUUUAUUAUUUCCGUUGUUCUUCUUGGCCUGUCGUCUAAGUUUCUGCUGUAUAUUUCUGUCUCUCUGGUGUUUGUUUCCGUUGUUUCCGUUGUUUCCUUGGUGUUCGUUAUUUCCGCUGUUCUUCUUGGCCUGUCAUCUAACUUUCUGCUGUAUGUUUCUGUAUAUCUGGAGGUUAUUUCCGUUAUUUCCAUUAUUUCCGUUAUUUCAGUUAUUUCCUUUAUUCUUCUUGGCCUGUCAUCUAAGUUUCUGCUGUAUGUUUCUGUAUAUCUGGAGGUUAUUUCCGUUAUUUCCAUUAUUUCCGUUAUUUCAGUUAUUUCCUUUAUUCUUCUUGGCCUGUCAUCUAAGUUUCUGCUGUAUAUUUCUGUCUCUCUGGAGGUUUUUUCCAUUAUUUUCGUUAUUUUGGUUAUUUCUGUAUUUUCGUUAUUUCCGUAAUUAUUUCCGUUAUUUCCGUUGUUCUUCUUGGCCUGUCAUCUAAGUUUCUGCUGUAAGUUUCUGUCUUGCUGGUUAUUAGUUCCUUUUGUUCCGUUAGAUCCGUUAUUUAUUUCCGUUAGUUCUGGAAUUUAUUUCCGUUAGUUCCGUUAUUUAUUUCCAUUACUUUCGUCUUUUAGUUCCCUUAUUUAGUUCCGUUAUUUAAUUCCGUUUUUUCCGUUGUUCUUGGACUGUCAUCUAAGUUUCUGAAGUAUGUUUCUUUCUCUCUGGAGUUUAUUUCCUUUCUUUCCCUUAUAAUUUCCCUUAUUAUUUCCCUUAUUAUUUCCCUUAUUUCCCGUAUUUUUUCCCUUAUUUCACUUAUUCUGUUAUUUCCCUCAUUUCCCUUUUUUCCGUUAUUUCCCUUAUUUCCGUUAUUUACCUUAUUUUCUUUAUUUCCCUUAUUUCUGUUGUUUCUGCUAUUUCUGUUUUUUCCAUUGUUCUUCUUGGCCUGUCAUCUAAGUUUCAGAUGUAUGUUUCUGUCUCUCUGGAGUUUGUUUCCGUUAUUAUUUCCAUUAUUAAUUCAGUAAUUUCCGUAAUUUACUUUAGUUAUUCCCGUUAUUUAUUUCCGUUUUUUCCAUUAUUUAUUUAUGUUAUUUCAGUUAUUUAUUUCCGUUAUUUCUGUAGUUCUUCUUGGCCUGUCAUCUCAGUUUCUGCAGUCUGUUUCUGUCUCUCUGGAGGUUAUUUCCGUUAUUUCCAUUAUUUCCGUUAUUUCUGUUAUUUCCGUUGUUCUUCUUGGCCUGUCAUCUAUUUUUCUGCAGUCUGUUUCUGUCUCUCUGGAGGUUAUUUCCGUUAUUUCCGUUAUUUCCGUUAUUACCGUUCUUUCCAUUAUUUCCCUUGUUCUUCUUGGCCUGUCAUCAAAGGUUCUGCAGUAUGUUUCUGUCUCUCUGGUGGUUAGUUUCGUUAGUUCCGUUCUUUCCGUUAUUUCCUUUAUUCUUCUUGGCCUGUCAUCUAAGUUUCUGCCGUAUGUUUCUGUCCCCUGGUGGUUAGUUUCAUUAGUUCUGUUAGUUCCUUUAUUUAUUUUCAUUAUUUCCAGAAUUUGUUUCUGUUAGUUCCAUUAUUUAUUUCCCUUAGUUCCUUUAUUUAUUUCGGUUGGUUCCGUAAUUUCAUUCUGUUAGUUCCGUUAUUUAUUUCCCUUAGUUCCUUUAUUUAUUUCGGUUGGUUCCGUAAUUUCAUUCUGUUAGUUUCGUCAUUUAUUUCCGUUACUUCCGUUAUUUAGUUCCAUUAUUUAGUUCCAUUAUUUCCAUUGUUCUUCUUGGCCUGUCAUCUAAAUUUCUGCAGUCUGUUUCUGUCUCUCUGGAGGUUAGUUCCGUUAGUUCCGUUAUUUAUUUCUGUUAUUUCCGUUAUUUAUUUC